This 7443-nucleotide long non-coding RNA is filed under the name Zea mays. Its description in RNAcentral is "long non-coding RNA (ZMAY_LNC001679)". Lineage: Eukaryota; Viridiplantae; Streptophyta; Magnoliopsida; Poales; Poaceae. The record is from RNAcentral.
UUUCUUUAGUCGGGUAAGUCUUGCUGAGUAAUUCCAUACUCAGGGUUUUAUUCCCUGUUGUUUUUCAGGUUCUAACUUUGUGCUAUUGUUGAUGGUGUUAAGUGCCGGUGGGCUCGGCCUUCUUAUAAGUCUAAGUAACCCUUCUAUACUUCUUAUUGAGGAUGAUCCCUUGAGCUAGCAUAUAUUUCAAACUUAUACUUUUUGUAAUCACUCCGAUAAACUAAUAUAAAAUUUUUGUAACUUGUAAAAUUUGGUAGUAAGAUUUCCGCUGCAAUAAUAUUGGUGUGUGUGAUUUGUAUUACUUAAUCCCGCGAUCUUGGUUGUAAGUGGUUUAUCCGAUGUCCUUGGGGCAAUCGGACAGAUCCUGUUAAGUUAUCUGGUGCACAUGCAUAGCCGUCUGAAGUCUUUGGGACAAGGACAGGUGCAUGUGGGCCCAAUAACUUGGAGGUUCUGCCACAGGCUGGUAUCGGAGCAGGAUUAAGUAUAUACGGUCACAUACGUAUUUUCAAAAUAAAGUUUUGGUUUUAGAAAACCUAUUUUCAACUAAACACAUUGUUUGGCUUUGAAAAACAGUUUUGAAAAACUAUAAUGCUAGCGACAUCCUCUGUUAAGCCCUAUACUAAGGAUUAUCAGGUGGCUUAGUUAAAACCACUAACCCACAACCGGGUGGGUAUUGCAUACAUGUGUAAUGUUAUUUUUGAGGCCAUUCAGUUUUGAAUGGAUCGACGCUCAGGUAAGGUGAGAUGUGAGAGCAUGACCGAACAAACGUCGGUCUAGGGAAGAGUAUAAAAAGCGCUUGAUUAUAUACAUGUUCUACAUAUGUAUAUAUGAAGGCUACGAUGUGGAGUAUUUACUUUUCUGGGAAUUCAGUACCCCAUGGAUGUGUAUGGGUAUACAGACAUGGGAGUACUGAGAAAUGUAAUGUACUUGUAACGACGCACCUACGCUCAGGUAAGAAGGUGAGUUACCAUAAUGAGUUGCCCUAUGGUUAAAGUGUGGCAACGGCGCCUAUGCGUGGCUCGGCGCUUAAUGAUGAGCUGGCCUCCAUAUAGAAAUAUAUGGAGUAUAAACUGUGAUAAACUGUCAUGUGUGAACUGCAUCAUUGGGAAUUGGGUUGUGAUGGAUUUUUCUGCAGGUACACUAACCUCGAAAACGUAUGUGUAGCUGACGAUUAGCAAAAUAUCGAGAGAGAACAUAUGCCACCGAUAUAGAACGCUAUUGCCACAUUAGAUUGGCAAAAACUCGUGAGGACGUGUAGGACGAACAUGCAUCCUGAUUGUUGCAUCAUGUUUGUCACCUAUACACCCAAAAUGCUUCUCUCAUCCUUAUUCCAGUAACCAUUGAUUGUAGAUAAUGUGGUGUAAUGCUGAAUUAUGAACUUCGAUGAAAUAGGUGUCCUUCAUUCUUUAGGUGACCUCUUAGGGUGUUUUAUGUGUUUGCCCUUGUACUUGAUGUGCCGAUAGAAGGUUAGUGACUUGUUUGCCUAAAUCGGAAAUUAGGCCAUGUUCUUAGUUAGUGAGCCAUGACCCAAAGUUGAUUUUUCCGUUAUCAUUCCAUGACCAAACACAUACAAAUAAAUGCUUAGAUAAUUUCUUGUUGGAAAUAAAGUGCACCCAAGCUUAAAACAAGGAUCUCAAGUCAUGUCUCCUUUUAGAACCAUUCCCUUGUUCAGUUGAUGCAGGUUGAGGUCCCUAUUGUAUUCGGCCUCUCCUUGUUGACCAUCUUGUCGCCUUAUCAACCUAACUUAGGAAAGUCAUACCUAAUCAUUUUCCUUCGUUUGAUGCCUUUAGUUCCCCAUCUUUCUCGAAGGCAUACCCACUUAACCUUGUGAUUGUUUUCCCUACGUAUCUAGUCAGAUACUAAUCCUUGACUUGUAAUCCAUCUGAUGGGCAUAGAAAUAUGCUUGGGGCUAAAUUAACAGUCUCUCAUCGUACUUCUUUCAUCAAGUUUAGGUUAUGGCCAUGUCUUGUUUAUUUCAUCGGGCCAUGAUCUAUUUGGCUCUCUACUUGUAACCUUUUUGACAGGUAGAGUAUCUUUGUAUAUUGUCACCCUUGCACAAUUCAUUUGUGUGGUGUGAGAUUUCUUAUUGGUUACAUCUGGUAAUGGUGUUAUGACUAAAACCAGUGGUGUCGUGACGAAACCGAGGGCCUUCUGUGGGUGCGCGCACACGGUUGUGCUGCUCGGCACACGCUAGUGUCACAGUUGGUAGUCAUAAUCCAUUAUGAGAUUAUAUCAAUAUGUUAUCUCUGCACGAAUUGUUCUUACCACAUGAGAUUCAUUAUUGGUGCCAGUUUUAUAAUGGUGUUAUGGUUAAGGACUUAUGGUACCGCGGCGAAACUGAGGGCCUCCUGUGAAUGCGCACACAGGAUUUUGCUGCUUGGCGCAUGCCGGUACCAAGGUCUCUGGUCAUGAUCCAUUGUGGAACUACACUUAUGUGUGAUCUUCUGUGGACUCCUCCCUUGAAACAAUUUCUAUGUUGUUUGUCAAGUUAUCAAGCAACAUCUAUCAUCUCCGUUGGAUCAAAAGGGCAUACCACUUUCCUGUGUGGUCUUAUUUCUUUUGAUCUUGGUAGUGACUACUCAUACAAGUUCCCUUUACAUCCUUUCUGUAAAGGUGAAUCCUUGGAGCUUUUUAGUGUUGGAAAACAACUGAUUAGCUCUCAAACUAGAGAUUGGAUUUUCCCUGCUGCUGAGAUGCAGGAGUUUGUUCAUUCACUCUCUUAUUUAUUCCAUGUAUUCCCUACCCAAGCGGAUAAUGCAUCUCGCAUGAAGAAACGGAUGAACAACAUGACCAAAUGGAUUUCCACCCAAAUGCAUGACCUUUUGCUUGCAAAUGUAAACUCUCAACCCUUGACAUACCAAUGGUACUGAGAGGACCUGCUCAAUGUUAAAAGUAGUUCAACAAGUUGGUUUUACUAACUUGUAACUGCCCAGUUAACAAAGAUUGAGUUUAGAGAUCGUUUUAUCGAGUUGUCUAAACUCACUUUGGUUCAACCCAUCCUAAGGAAGUACUUACAAGAAUCGAGAUUAAGUCGACCAGAAACCACCUAGUCAUCGCUCUAGUCAUGCCUCCAUCGCCUCGCGUGUGCUUUUCCAGCGUGUGUGAUCAUGUCGAGUCAUGCCUAGUGCUUGAUAAAAUGGAAUAGACACGAAGUCUGCAUUUAUAGCUUCCUUGACCAGUGAUUUUUCGAGUCUCUAUCAUUUUCUUGGACUUGGAAUCUCUAGCUAACACGGGUUAACUGUGAUGUUAUUCGACAUUCACACCUGUCUCGUGUGCUAUGAACUUACCAUGACCCCUUGUUAGUAAACCUCUUUCUGUGUGUUUUACCCAGGAGGUUGCAUCUGAUUCUGUUUGGGUAAAAUUGCAUACCUGUCGCUUGCUCAACAGACUCAGAUAGUACAGUAUCGUCAGAAAAAGCAAACUGCACACAUGGAACCUUAUGUGUUCUUUUGGCAGACAUCGCCUCUGCUAAUGGAUAUCUCCAAGUUAGCUUUCGGCGAUACAUGCUAUAUCGACUAGAGAAACGACAUCCUGAGACACUCAUCUUUGCUUGGAGUGUCUCACGAUUAUCGCUGAUAUGGAUAUGGGUUACAUGCUUCUCUACUCUUAGAAGUCUUUCGUUCCGAAUCUCGGGACGAGAUUCUUUUAAGGGGGGAGGGCUGUAACACCCCUGGUGUUUAUAUUCUGCUCGACAGCGAGUACGGGUGUAAGCACGUAAUCAGUGGAUAAAACAGAUGCCAAAAUUUUAAAGUUCUUCGUCUAUCGUGAUUUUAAUAUCGCAUCUGUUCCUUCUGUCGCGAGUGCGACAUCGUUAUUAUUUUUAGCUAUCCGGGCUUGUCCUAAAUUUUCGUAAUGUUCGGGACAUCGUUGUUCCAAAAAUCGGUGCGUCCGGUGAUUAUUUAAAAUUCAUCGCUUGCACGGGUACGAAUUCGGAAGCCCGACUUACUCGGAUAAUUUUUAUCCCGGAUAGAUUAAUUAGAGCUCGACGAUUAAAAUAUUCGGGGUAAAACAAUUCGAAUCGCGUGAAAUCAUGCGCGAGAUUAUGAUCCCAUUCGUUCUUCAGCACGCUGUUGUGGCGACAAAAUCGCGAAUACGAUAGCGGAUUUGGUUUCGGCUAAUUUUAGUCGAAUUCCACAGAGUAAAUUAACGAAGACAAAAUUAGUCUUAUUCGGGCCAUCGUUUCUUGCCCGGAUCCGAAUCUUCGGAUAUAAGUAAUUAGCGAUUAAAUUGGUUCGCUAAAUCCGAAGCAUGUCAUGUGUAUUUGUGUGGUGCGUUAAUCCUUUAUUCAGCGCUAAAAAAAAUGUGAUUCAAAAUAUCUUUAAUUGCCGUUAAGAAAAAGAGAGAGAAAAGAAAAUCCGGAAAAUGGAAAAAUACCCACCGUUCCUAUCUCUUCCACCGCGCGCACGGUCUUCAGAUUUUUUUUCCACGAGCGGUGCUCUUCUCUCCCGCCGUUCUCACUUUCUUCUCUGAUUUCUUGAUUCUUUCUAUCCCAGCGUCGAUCCUUAUCCCCGCCGCUCUUCUCCCCUUCAGAUCUUUCAGCCGUCAGUAUUUAUCUGCGCAGUUCCUCUGAUUCUCAUCCAUCGGCGUUCCUUCGCCCCCAGCUCGGCGCUCAAGCUCCCUUACACCGCGCGCCCUAGCAUCUGCUCACCUCUGCGCGCGCUUCUCUCCAUGGAGCGCUCGACCGGAGCUCUGCUCCCCUGCUCCUCUGCGCCGCGCCCUUGUCUUCAGCCGGCGCUACCUCUUUUUCAGCGACGUCCAGCUUCAUCUCCCUCAACUCCCACGGCCGGAACUCCCGCUGCCGCUCGGCUCUAGUGAAAGAAGCUCCCUGUGCCCAGCGCUCCCUGCUCCAUCUUCUCGUGCGCGUGCGUCCUCGCCGCGCCGAGCGCCGUGAAGUCUCUGCGCGCCGCGGGCUCGAUUCUUUCAUCCCGCGCGCGUCCCCUGUGUUUCUCUGCUCGGCCUCUGUUACUUCUGUUACUCCUCUGCGCGCAGCUGCAUCCCACUGCUUGGCUACGGCUCAUCCGUUGCGCUCGGGUCACCCUGGUAUUCUAGCUCGUCGUCGCGUUGUUUGCCGUCGACCUCGCUAAAUCGCCCUCGCUAAAUCGCCCCUUGCUCGACGCCGGUGAUGGCCGUCGUGGAGCACCGCUGUAAACUCCCAGCACCCUUGCCUCUGCUCUAGGAAAUAUCAAGCCUUGAACAACCAUCAAUUUGUUGCGACGUGUGUGCGCUACUCGUCCCACGUCGUCGUCUUUGUGUGUGGACAGCCCCGUCGCGGCAUGUCUGCCAAAUCAUCGCGUCCGUGCUGAGUUCCCUGGUCAUCGCGUUUUUUCUUAUAGAUGCUCAGUCUUACCGCGCGUCCUGUUUCCUGUUCGCCAGCGCGCCCUCUUGGCUCGCUCGGCUUUAAUUCCCAAUCGUGUCGUCGAUUCCACCGGUUAGCGUCAUUCGUCGUCGCGUCGCGUGUGUAGCUCUAUAUACGUCACUCUCCUGUGUCGUCGUCGUUCCACGUGUCGUCAAGAAAUUCCAAGAGUCGAGUGAAGAUGGAGCCAGCAGUAUGGUGUUCACCAAGUGCGCGACAAAAAGCUCGGACAUCCUGCGCGACUCAAGUUCGAUUUGUCAAAAUUAUUUAGUCGAGGAAAAGAUCUUCAGCAAAUGAUUAUCGAAGAAAAGAAGGCCCCUGGGUGACGUCAACCGGAACCUGUAGUCGUGCUUGCGACUAUCGCGUCGAAUUAGUCAGGAUAAGUUGAUUCGUUUUCCUGUCAACUAGAUCUAUAAAUAGAUUAAUAGAAUUAUUAGUCGCGAUAAUUGUUAUUAAUUUAGUAUACACAUAUUGUGAUGUUCGAUUUAGAUAAAUAGGUAAAUCAAGUAAUUAAGAUACACAGUUUAAAGAGUUAAUAAAAAGCUAGGAAUAAAAAUAGAUAUUCUAGUGUUAUUAUGUCAAUGGAUGUAGUCGAUGCCCUGUUGUGAUAUCCAUGGUGCUUAAUGUUUGGUUUUAAGUGUUUCAUCCUUUUAGUGAGAUUAUCUAUAUUAUACUCGUGCUCAUACAUGUGCAUCAUGCAUCUCAUGAGGUACGAUAAAUAAUCGCGCGAUGCGGAAGACAAGCCAAGUCGACCCCAAGCGCGGACUACUCCGCAGGAUGAAGCUGAUGGAUGAACCGGAAGAUGGAUAAUCUGAAUGAGUGUCAAGCCAAAGGAUACUCGCCAAGUGGUCGCCUAACAAACACUAACCUAGUGUUACUCAGGCAAGCCCCGGUGCAUUUGCCACCUUCCUUGAGGUUUUUAAAAUCUUUCUCACUUGAUUGCUGCAUUAGGUGAUAGGAGUUGAUUGAUAAAACAAUUCCUGCAUUACCUUCCUUGAAUUUGAUUACCUUCCUUGAUCACCCGUUUUACAAAAGAUUUUGAUGCUUAGCCUUGCUUUAGAAAACAAAAUGUUUUGUUUUUACAAACUAUGAUGUGGCAAAGGUGGGUGGGAUGUUUUCGAAAAUAAAACUUGAUGGUGGAUCUGUCAAAGGCCUUGAUGGAUUCAACAUCGGAAAAGAUGUACCUCUGCCAGGUACCAAACUUUGGGUUUGAAAUAAUUAAGCUGAGACCGGGCGGGUGACUUGCACGGGAAAGGAGUCUCGGUGUAGUGUCUCCGUCUGAGUCGAUUAAGGACCUUGUCGAUGUAGGCCUGCUGACCGAGGACCCUUUAACUGGUCACAUGCCUCGUCAUGGGUAAGCUUUGCCUCGGGCGGACUAAGGCCAGAAUAAGAUAACACGAAAUGAGCGUGGAGCGGUGGCGAGAGUAGCGUGUACCCUCCGUGGCAAGAGGCUGGACGGUGGUGUAUCUGUGCUCUCGGUUUGCGUGAACCUGAUCUGGUCUUAAGAACCCCGGUGGCGGGUUGACAUAUGCAAGGGUUAAGUGCUACAUAUGUCGUGUGAUUGGAGAUCCUCAGCUGAGUAUAAUCGAUUCGGAUCGCCGUACCUUCGCGGUUAUGAAGACUUGGUCACUGACUUACACGUAGCAAUCCACUAAAGAUGAUGGUUUUGUUAAGAAAUUGGCUAGUGCAGGACAAGUGAUUGAACUAGGGUAGAAAGAACUCUAGCUGCAGGUAAUUUUACUUAACCUGACAAUAAAAUUCGAUUUUAAGGAUCCACUCGUAGUAAGCUUUUCUGCAAAACAGAGUCUUUGAUUGUUGAUAAGCCAUACCUUGACUCCCUUAAGCCAGCAUACCCUUGAGAGUCUUUUCUUUAGUCGGGUAAGUCUUGCUGAGUAAUUCCAUACUCAGGGUUUUAUUCCCUGUUGUUUUUCAGGUUCUAACUUUGUGCUAUUGUUGAUGGUGUUAAGUGCCGGUGGGCUCGACCUUCUUAUAAGUCUAAGUAACCCUUCUAUACUUCUUAUUGAGGAUGAUCCCUUGAGCUAGCAUAUAUUUCAAACUUAUACUUUUUGUAAUCACUCCGAUAAACUAAU